This 468-nucleotide ribosomal RNA is filed under the name uncultured bacterium. Its description in RNAcentral is "partial 16S ribosomal RNA". It matches the Rfam family "Bacterial small subunit ribosomal RNA", at positions 28 to 507 of the family's 1533-position model. The record is from RNAcentral.
GAUGAACGCUGGCGGCGUGCUUAACACAUGCAAGUCGAACGGAAAGGCCCUGCUCUUGUGGCGUGCUCGAGUGGCGAACGGGUGAGUAACACUUGAGUAACCUUCCCUUUACUUUGGGAUAACUUGAGGUAACUGCGGCUAGUACCGGAUAGGAGCUCCUGCUUCAUAGUGGGGGUUGGAAGGUGUGGGCGGAGGGGGUGGUACUCGCGGCUUAUCAGCUUGUCGGUGGAGUAGUGGCUUACCAAGGCUUUGACGGGUAGCCGGCCUGAGCGGGGGACCGGACACAUUGGGCAGGAGAUAACGCGAAGAAGCAGAGGGGAGGAAGGAGUGGGGAAUAUUGCACAAUGGCAGGAAGGCUGCGGCAGCAACGCCGGGUGCGGGAUGACGGCAUUCGGGUUGCAGACCGAUUUCGCCGGUGACGAAGAGUGAGUGACGGUAAUGGGGAAAGAAGCAACGGCUAACUACGUG